GGCCUUUUGAUAAUAAUUUAAGGUCGGGCCUGCCCAAUGAUUAAUUUAAUGGCCGCGGUAUAUUAACUGUGCAAAGGUAGCAUAAUCAUUAGUUUUUUAAUUGAAAGCUGGAAUGAAGGGUUUAAUGAAAAAAGUUCUGUCUUGCUUAAGUUUAUUAGAAAUUUAUUUUUAAGUUAAAAAGCUUAAAUAAUUAUUAAAGACGAGAAGACCCUAUAGAGUUUUAUAUCCAAAAAAAUAUAUUUUAUUUAGAAUUUUGGAGCUAUGUUUUAGAGAUAUUUUGUUGGGGUGACAGAAAAAUUUAAUAAACUUUUUUUUCCAUAAACAUUAAUGUAUGAAUAAUUGAUCCUUUUUAAAGAUUAAAAGAUAAAAUUACCUUAGGGAUAACAGCGUGAUUUUUUUUAGAGUUCUUAUCGAAAGAAAAGAUUGCGACCUCGAUGUUGGAUUAAAAUAAAUUUUUGGCGCAAAAGCUAAGAGAUUAGGUCUGUUCGACCUUUAAAUUUUUACAUGAUCUGAGUUUAGACCGGUUUGAG
RNAcentral lists this ribosomal RNA (530 nucleotides) under Calacalles minutus. RNAcentral's name for it is "partial 16S ribosomal RNA". It matches the Rfam family "Bacterial large subunit ribosomal RNA", at positions 1860 to 2625 of the family's 2925-position model. Lineage: Eukaryota; Metazoa; Arthropoda; Insecta; Coleoptera; Curculionidae. The record is from RNAcentral.